CCUGGUGGCGAGUGGCGAACGGGUGAGUAAUACAUCGGAACGUACCCAGAAGUGGGGGAUAACGUAGCGAAAGUUACGCUAAUCCCGCAUACGUUCUACGGAAGAAAGUGGGGGAUCGCAAGACCUCAUGCUUUUGGAGCGGCCGAUGUCUGAUUAGCUAGUUGGUGAGGUAAAGGCUCACCAAGGCGACGAUCAGUAGCUGGUCUGAGAGGCCGCCAGCCACACUGGAACUAGAGACUCGGUCCAGACUCCUACGGGAGGCAGCAGUGGGGAAUUUUGGACAAUGGGCGCAAGCCUGAUCCAGCAAUGCCGCGUGAGUGAAGAAGGCCUUCGGGUUGUAAAGCUCUUUUGUCAGGGAAGAAACGGCAGUGGCUAAUAUCCUUUGCUAAUGACGG
RNAcentral lists this ribosomal RNA (395 nucleotides) under uncultured bacterium. RNAcentral describes it as "bacterial SSU rRNA". It matches the Rfam family "Bacterial small subunit ribosomal RNA", at positions 84 to 475 of the family's 1533-position model. The record is from RNAcentral.